This 467-nucleotide ribosomal RNA is filed under the name uncultured bacterium. RNAcentral's name for it is "partial 16S ribosomal RNA". It matches the Rfam family "Bacterial small subunit ribosomal RNA", at positions 29 to 507 of the family's 1533-position model. The record is from RNAcentral.
ACGAACGCUGGCGGCGUGCUUAACACAUGCAAGUCGAACGGAAGGGCCCUGCUUUUGUGGGGUGCUCGAGUGGCGAACGGGUGAGUAACACGUGAGUAACCUGCCCUUGACUUUGGGAUAACUUCAGGAAACUGGGGCUAAUACCGGAUAGGAGCUCCUGCUGCAUGGUGGGGGUUGGAAAGUUUCGGCGGUUGGGGAUGGACUCGCGGCUUAUCAGCUUGUUGGUGGGGUAGUGGCUUACCAAGGCUUUGACGGGUAGCCGGCCUGAGAGGGUGACCGGCCACAUUGGGACUGAGAUACGGCCCAGACUCUUACGGGAGGCAGCAGUGGGGAAUAUUGCACAAUGGGCGGAAGCCUGAUGCAGCAACGCCGCGUGCGGGAUGACGGCCUUCGGGUUGUAAACCGCUUUCGCCUGUGACGAAGCGUGAGUGACGGUAAUGGGUAAAGAAGCACCGGCUAACUACGUG